GUAGGGUGCAAGCGUUAAUCGGAAUUACUGGGCGUAAAGCGUGCGCAGGCGGUUAUAUAAGACAGAUGUGAAAUCCCCGGGCUCAACCUGGGAACUGCAUUUGUGACUGUAUAGCUAGAGUACGGCAGAGGGGGAUGGAAUUCCGCGUGUAGCAGUGAAAUGCGUAGAUAUGCGGAGGAACACCGAUGGCGAAGGCAAUCCCCUGGGCCUGUACUGACGCUCAUGCACGAAAGCGUGGGGAGCAAACAGGAUUAGAUACCCUGGUAGUCCACGCCCCUAAACGAUGUCAACUGGUUGUUGGGUCUUCACUGACUCAGUAACGAAGCUAACGCGUGAAGUUGACCGCCUGGGAGUACGGCCGCAAGGUUG
RNAcentral lists this ribosomal RNA (369 nucleotides) under uncultured organism. RNAcentral's name for it is "partial 16S ribosomal RNA". It matches the Rfam family "Bacterial small subunit ribosomal RNA", at positions 527 to 896 of the family's 1533-position model. The record is from RNAcentral.